This 328-nucleotide unclassified non-coding RNA is filed under the name soil metagenome. RNAcentral's name for it is "partial contains 5.8S ribosomal RNA, internal transcribed spacer 2, and large subunit ribosomal RNA". The stretch from base 1 to 120 matches the Rfam family "5.8S ribosomal RNA", at positions 35 to 154 of the family's 154-position model. The record is from RNAcentral.
GAUGAAGAACGCAGCGAAAUGCGAUAAGUAAUGUGAAUUGCAGAAUUCAGUGAAUCAUCGAAUCUUUGAACGCACAUUGCGCCCCUUGGUAUUCCGAGGGGCAUGACUGUUCGAGCGUCAUUAUAACCCUCAAGCUCAGCUUGGUGUUGGGGCCUGCUGCACUGGCAGCCCUUAAAAUCAGUGGCGGCGCCAUCUGGCUCUAAGCGUAGUAAUUCUUCUCGCUAUGGAGUCCUGGUGGAUGCUUGCCAUCAACCCCCAAUUUUUCUAUGGUUGACCUCGGAUCAGGUAGGGAUACCCGCUGAACUUAAGCAUAUCAAUAAGCGGAGGA